This 816-nucleotide long non-coding RNA is filed under the name Nicotiana benthamiana. Its description in RNAcentral is "long non-coding RNA (NBEN_LNC015215)". Lineage: Eukaryota; Viridiplantae; Streptophyta; Magnoliopsida; Solanales; Solanaceae. The record is from RNAcentral.
GCAAGUUCAUCCUACUAUUUUCAGACUAUGCAAGCGGACCGAGUCGGGUUCAGCCCAAAUACCAAAGAUGGCCUUAAAACACAGAGAUCAUUCUCAAGGAAUGGUCAAUUGCCUCCAAGAAGUCUCUCAAUUCCAAAUGGUUCUCAUGCUUCUCCACAUCAUUAUCAGUUUCCUCAGAAUUCACCUAAACCAGAACCAGAUUGUAAAUCUUAGAACUGGAUUGUUGGCUCCCCUACUAGCAGAGGAAGAACAGUAAAUUUUUUAAUCAUGUUUUGAUCUUUCAAUAUGCAUUGACUCCUAACGGAGCUCAAGUACAUGGAGUAAAUAUUUGUCAUCGAUAAAUUGGGUUCUCUCUCUCCCUCUCUUUUUGGAUCAAUUGAUGGUUGGAAUGGGGUAGUUCCCUAAAAUUUAUGGGAAGGUAUACCUCUUCCGCAGCCCGAAAAUGGUUGGAGUAUGCAAGCGGACCGAGUUGGGUUCAGCCCAAAUACCAAAGAUGGCCUUAGAACACAGAGAUCAUUCUCAAGGAAUGGACAACUGCCUCCAAGAUGUCUCUCAAUUCCAAAUGGUUCUCAUGCUUCUCCACAUCAUUAUCAGUUUCCUCAGAAUUCACCUAAACCAAAGCCAGAUGGCAAAUCAUAGAACUGGAUUGUUGGCUCCCUUACUAGCAGAGGAAGAACAGUAAAUUGUUUAAUCAUGUUUUGAUCUUUCAAAAUGCAUUAACUCCAUGGAGUAAAUAUUUGUCUUUGUCAUAAAUUGGGUUCUCGCUCUUUCCCCUUCUCUUUCCCGAUCGAUUGAUGGUUGGAAUGGGGGUAAAUC